Molecule: ribosomal RNA, 450 nt
Filed under: uncultured bacterium
Lineage: Bacteria
Description: partial 16S ribosomal RNA
Rfam family: Bacterial small subunit ribosomal RNA
Source: RNAcentral
GUGGGGAAUAUUGGACAAUGGGCGCAAGCCUGAUCCAGCAAUGCCGCGUGGGUGAAGAAGGCCUUCGGGUUGUAAAGCCCUUUUGUACGGAAAGAAAUCCUGGUGGUUAAUACCCGCCGGGGAUGACGGUACCGUAAGAAUAAGCACCGGCUAACUUCGUGCCAGCAGCCGCGGUAAUACGAAGGGUGCAAGCGUUAAUCGGAAUUACUGGGCGUAAAGCGUGCGUAGGUGGUUUCUUAAGUCUGUCGUGAAAGCCCUGGGCUCAACCUGGGAAUGGCGAUGGAUACUGGGAGGCUAGAGUGCGGUAGAGGAUGGCGGAAUUCCCGGUGUAGCGGUGAAAUGCGUAGAGAUCGGGAGGAACAUCUGUGGCGAAGGCGGCCAUCUGGACCAGCACUGACACUGAGGCACGAAAGCGUGGGGAGCAAACAGGAUUAGAAACCCUGGUAGUCC